AUGCUCACUUCAGCAGCACAUAGACUAAAAUUGGAAGGAUUCAGAGAAGAUUAGCAUGGCUCCUCUGUAAGGAUGACACACAAGUUCAGGAAGCAUUCCAUAUUUUC
This 107-nucleotide small nuclear RNA is filed under the name Vulpes vulpes (red fox). Lineage: Eukaryota; Metazoa; Chordata; Mammalia; Carnivora; Canidae. RNAcentral also lists the same sequence under 1 other name. The record is from RNAcentral.